UUGGAGGGCAAGUCUGGUGCCAGCAGCCGCGGUAAUUCCAGCUCCAAUAGCGUAUAUUAAAGUUGCUGCAGUUAAAAAGCUCGUAGUUGAAUUUCGGGACCAUCAUGUCGGUCGUGCCUCGGUACGUACUGGUAUUGUUAGUUUCUCCCUUCUGACGAACCAUGAUGUCAUUUAUUUGGUGUUGUGGGGAAUCAGGACUGUUACUUUGAAAAAAUUAGAGUGUUUAAAGCAGGCUCACGCUUGAAUACAUUAGCAUGGAAUAAUGAAAUAGGACGUUUGAUUCUAUUUUGUUGGUUUCUAGGAUCGACGUAAUGAUUAAUAGGGAUAGUUGGGGGCAUUAGUAUUCAAUUGUCAGAGGUGAAAUUCUUGGAUUUAUUGAAGACUAACUACUGCGAAAGCAUUUGCCAAGGAUGUUUUCAUUAACCAAGAACGAAAGUUAGGGGAUCGAAGACGAUCAGAUACCGUCCUAGUCUUAACCAUAAACUAUGCCGACUAGGGAUCGGAUGAUGUUAAUUUUUUAAUGACUCAUUCGGCGCCUUACGGGAAAC
Molecule: ribosomal RNA, 548 nt
Filed under: uncultured Glomeromycotina
Lineage: Eukaryota; Fungi; Glomeromycota
Description: SSU rRNA
Rfam family: Eukaryotic small subunit ribosomal RNA
Source: RNAcentral